This 25-nucleotide non-coding RNA is filed under the name Mus musculus (house mouse). The record is from RNAcentral. Lineage: Eukaryota; Metazoa; Chordata; Mammalia; Rodentia; Muridae.
UGCCCUUGUUUGGUUUGGUGGAGGC